GAUGAACGCUGGCGGCGUGCCUAAUACAUGCAAGUCGAGCGAACAGACGAGGAGCUUACUCCUCUGACGUUAGCGGCGGACGGGUGAGUAACACGUGGAUAACCUACCUAUAAGACUGGGAUAACUUCUGGAAACCGGAGCUAAUACCGGAUAACAUGUUUAACCGCAUGGUUCAACAGUGAAAGACGGUCUUUCUGUCACUUAUAGAUGGAUCCGCGUCGCAUUAGCUAGUUGGUAAGGUAACGGCUUACCAAUGCAACGAUGCGUAGCCGACCUGAGAGGGUGAACGGCCACACGGGUACUGAGACACGGUCCAGACUACUAAGGGAGGCAGAAGAAGGGAAUCUUACGCAAUGGGAGAAAGCCGGACGGAACAACGACGCGUGAGUGAAGAAGGAGUUCGGAUCGUAAAACGAUGUUAUUAGGGAAGAACAAAUGUGUAAGUAACUAUGCACGUCUUGACGGUACCUAAACAGAAAGCCACGGCUAACUAAGUG
Molecule: ribosomal RNA, 497 nt
Filed under: uncultured bacterium
Lineage: Bacteria
Description: partial 16S ribosomal RNA
Rfam family: Bacterial small subunit ribosomal RNA
Source: RNAcentral